Molecule: long non-coding RNA, 1351 nt
Organism: Seriola aureovittata
Lineage: Eukaryota; Metazoa; Chordata; Actinopteri; Carangiformes; Carangidae
Exons: 3
Source: RefSeq, a predicted model, not a curated record
GUAACAGAGACACAGGAUCAGCCCAGAGAAGUCAUAAACAAACGACUACAGCAAUGUGAUUCUGUAUUAUCAGUUGACAGUAUGAAAGCCUUUUUCAAAGCUGACAUUUUGACUUGUCAAAAUAGGAAAAGAGUCCCAGUGAUGCACGACAGUGUGACAGUGAGUUUCUUUGUUUGUUUGUUUGUUUGUUUGUCUGCAGGAUUACGCAAUGAACUGAUUUGCACCAAAUUGAGGGAUGGGGCAUGAGCUAGGGAGGAACCCAUAAAAAUUUUGUGGCAGAUCUCGAUCAUUAACUGGGGCGGGCCCACACUCCUGACACAAAACAUCAUACAAAAUACCAUAAAGGCAAUGCUCCGAAAAACAAGACAGGAAACAGGAAAACCACACGUUAGCAGUGUGAUGUCUCUAUGGCAACAGGUCAGGAUGUUAUCAAUGAGGAAAGUACGAAGACGACAGGUAGCUCUUUGUUCAGCUGGUCUCAUCCUGAUUUUAAACUGCUUCAAAUGCAGCCCACCACCAAGAUUUUUUGUUUCAUUGUUGUUCGAAGGUAAUUUAGAUAUGUAGUCAAUUGAUUUUUGAAAGUGAUUGCCUGUAUUGUCAGAAAGUAAAAAUGUAAAAGUUAAAAGUUCAUUGCAGUUUGUGCUCUUUCUGGCAUGGAUUUUACAUGUUCCUGCAGAAUUAUAAAAUCCACAUUAUUACAGCAUCCCCAGAGUGUAUUAUAAUGUAGGUUUUGUAAUAUAGGUUUUGUCUCUUCCUUUCACUUCGAACAGGCCUGACACAGUUUUGUCGUAAAGGUUUCUGUCCUGAUUCAAAAUGAAUCCCCAUUAAUACAAUUGAAGGCCCUUGCAGAUUGGGUUGCCUUUCUGAGAGGCAGAGCGGUUUGUAGAUGAGCCUAUAAAAAACAAGCCCUUGAGAGACUUUCAGUUAACCUGCAGUCUUCUAAUCAGAUUGUUUUCCAGCAUGCAUGGAAACAUUUUGUUUUGAGUAAUUUCUUUUGGCACUGACAGAAACAACAGGAAAAUAUCUGAAUCUUAAAGAUUAAAGCAACAAGCAGCUCACGUCCAACUUGAGACCAUCCUCUGUGAUGAGAAACUUUGAUUGACUUUAUUUUAAAGGGUCACAUUGCUUUACUGUUGAUAUGUAUAGUUCAGCUAUCUGAUAAUAAUGUAUGAAAACCUUACAUUUGAUCACAAACAUUUAAAACAUUUUUGAAACGUAAAAGUUUAUGUUUUUGAUCAUUAAUAAAGAAUACAUUUUAGUAAUGAACAGAGAUUUUGUCUGGAUAGAGUCUGUAUUUUUAUAAAUGUUGGACUUUCUAGAGUCUUAUCUACCUGGGAACAGUUUAGUAAUU